UACGAAGGGGGCUAGCGUUGUUCGGAUUUACUGGGCGUAAAGCGCUCGUAGGCGGCUUGUUAAGUCAGAGGUGAAAGCCUGGAGCUCAACUCCAGAACUGCCUUUGAUACUGGCGAGCUCGAGUAUAGCAGAGGUUGGUGGAACUCCGAGUGUAGAGGUGAAAUUCGUAGAUAUUCGGAAGAACACCAGUGGCGAAGGCGGCCAACUGGGCUAUUACUGACGCUGAGGAGCGAAAGCGUGGGGAGCAAACAGG
Molecule: ribosomal RNA, 253 nt
Filed under: uncultured bacterium
Lineage: Bacteria
Description: partial 16S ribosomal RNA
Rfam family: Bacterial small subunit ribosomal RNA
Source: RNAcentral